AUGGAUGGGGGUGUUUGGCCUAGCUUUUAAAAAGUAUUUUUGGGUUGAAAAAUGAUUUUCGGCUCAAUAGAGCGUUUGGCAAUCUCAUUUUUAAAAUCUGAUUCUAUUUGUCAGAAUCAGAAAUGUCACGUCCCGAAUUCCUCGUUUUCCUAGGCACACUAACAGACCCGCCGUAUACAUAGGAAUUUUUUCUGUAUACGAAGCGAAGCUGUUCAUGUACCUGUAAUCAUACAACACUACAACCAGUAGUAUAGAACUGCUAGAAAGGAAUAAACCAUAAUUAAAAACAGAAGUUCACUAUACAUGCAUAGUAUCCGGCCAGGUACAAAAAAUUACUCGCACCAGCGAGUUGUAAUAUCUAUAUGUACAAGAACUCCAACAAGACCGAUACUACCUGAAGUGGGUGCGUCUCUAGCUCAGCAACAACCCGGAAAGGAUCUAACUCGCGACUUCCUUUCCGCGGUUUGUCUCCGCCACAGCAGCAGCCGACGAAGAAGGCUCUGCGAAAAGAGGGAUAACAACUGGGCGUGAGAACUACUGCAAAAACAAA
This 550-nucleotide long non-coding RNA is filed under the name Ananas comosus (pineapple). RNAcentral describes it as "long non-coding RNA (ACOM_LNC002041)". The record is from RNAcentral. Lineage: Eukaryota; Viridiplantae; Streptophyta; Magnoliopsida; Poales; Bromeliaceae.